GUCUUGCUGAAUGGCAGCUCUUCCUUCUGGUGUGUCAGGCACUCCUCUCAUCUUUGUAUCAUCAUCAAACUUGCUGAGACUGCACUCUCUCCCUUCAUCCAGGUCGCUGAUGAAGAAGUUCAACAAGACCGGACCCAGGACUGACCACUGGGGAACACCUGUAUUUACAGGCCUCAAACCAGACUCUGCACUGCUUACCACAACUCUCUGAGCUCUGCCAAUCAACCACUCCUCAAUCCACCUCACUCUCCACUCAUCUAUCCCACACUUUUAAGCUUACUUCCACUGGACCAAAGCUUUUCCCAGCAGCAGAAACCUGUUAUCCAAAAGCCAGCUGUACAUUUCCCUCAUAAUAAACCAGAUGCCUCUAGAAAUUAAUUAAGAUCUCAUCACAAUCAAACUCACCUCAGGAUCUUCUAAGAAGAAGGAGUUCUUCAGAUGCUGACAGUCAGGGUUGGAGACUACUGCAGAGGCUGAGGUCUUGUCCCACUGUCGAGCCUUGUCAUUAAUAGCAACCUUGAUCCUGCUAUAUGAAGCACACAUGGAAUGGAUGGUUCUCACGCAGAGAGCAUCUCUUCACAUGGAAAGCAAUUUUGCACGAGGACGCAAGAAAGGAUGCAAAGAUUUGUGCCAAGGCCUGCUAAGGCAGGGCAGGUGGAAGAAUUCUGUCUUUGUUGGAAGCCGGGCUGAAUGGCCUCCCCAGUCUACUGUCACUGACAUUUGGGUGAUCUCAGCGCUAGUGGAGUCAUCCAAUAUCUGCGGCACUGCUGAGAGACUCCCGUCCACGUCUGCAAGGAAGGUCAUGCAGAGCCAGUACCCAGUGCUUUGGAAGAAGCCAGUGCAUCAUGAUGCCUUAGAAGUCUUCCAAAAAUCAGUCCUGGGGUAAGAGAGAGGAGGAGAGGAGAGGGAGAGGAGAGGGAGAGGAGAGGGAGAGGAGA
Molecule: long non-coding RNA, 938 nt
Filed under: Numida meleagris (helmeted guineafowl)
Lineage: Eukaryota; Metazoa; Chordata; Aves; Galliformes; Numididae
Description: lncRNA (ENSNMEG00000001637.1)
Source: RNAcentral